Molecule: long non-coding RNA, 2895 nt
Filed under: Olea europaea subsp. europaea
Lineage: Eukaryota; Viridiplantae; Streptophyta; Magnoliopsida; Lamiales; Oleaceae
Source: RNAcentral
CUUUCUGAUCAUCAAAUGUUCUUCUGUGAUGUUUGGGCUAGAUGUCAGAUUUACUUAAUAAUGCCGAAGCAUCUGUCUUGCCUCCACUGCUCCGCAUGUUUUACUUUUGGGUAGUUUGACAUCUUAGAACCUUGUUGUUAUUACACCAUGACCCAUCGAGUCAGGUUUGUAAAGUUGAGGACAGAUCUAAAAUUUUGGAUUUGAUCCCUUAGUCAGCAGCUGAAAGCAGGACUUGAUGAACAGCCACUUAGGAGGGGACUUUUAGGGAAAUUGUUUAAAUUGCUUCAGUAGAAGUAUUGCAAUCGUUUUAUUGGCCGAGUGGCUCAAAAAUAAAAUAAAAAAUUCUUCUAUAGAGAACUCCGACAAAUUUUUAAAACAGAUAGUGGCAUUCUCGGGUUGCUUAGCUUCUUGUGCCCAUGUUAGAGUUNCAAAAUCAAGUGCUAUAAAGCUUAUCGAUAUUGGCAGUACUACAUUUGAAAGCCAGGGUCAUAGCUAUGUGGUGUCUACACGUCAUUAUCGUGCUCCGGAGGUUAUUUUGGGUAAUUAGUGGUUCUUGUAUUUUUUUGGUUGCAUUUUUAAUUAUUUUCAGGUGGCUCAAUGAGUUAUUGCUGAUGCUGUUUUCUGUAGGUCUUGGAUGGAACUAUCUUUGUGAUAUGUGGAGUAUAGGUUCCAUGCUUGUUGAAUUGUGCUCUGUAAGUAAGAAAGCAACAUAUAGUUUUCACCACCUUUUAAAAUUGAACAUUAUUUGUUUUAGUUUAUAUUUUGGCAUUGUUAUGUUAAUGUAUAUGUGCAAUUGUGGCUCGUCCAUCUACUUAGGCAUCUUAUGCAGUUGAUUGUAUUACUAAGAAGGAGCUAUUUGCAUGUUGGGUUACCUGUCAUAUCUAGAUAUUCUUACUAGCAUUCUUUAAAUUGAUGAAUACUGUGCCUAUUACCAUCUAAGAUGGCUUUCUAAGGAAGCAUGCUAGUGCCCUAGUCAACAUUUCCAACUUAGAUUGUUCUGUCAGAAUGUAUUUUUAAUCAGUUUUUGAAAAGCUAUUUUCUGUGAUCGCUAAUUUUCCCCUUUUACUCUAGUGCCUCCUCUUAGUUUUUCUUCUCCAUCCUCUUUCUUUUAAGUCGUUCUUUUUAUAUUUCUGGCGGCAGUAGUUUGUGGUUUGGUUGAUCUAUUUUGGGAGUUGCUUGGGGUUAUGUUGGUUAUUACAUUCUUACUUCUUCUUGUUUGGCAAGAGACUGUAUGGGGAGCGAGGAAAACUAAAUAGGUGCAUUUAGCUGUUGAUGGUUCUAUUAGUUGGAGCUUACUUUAGAAUAUGGUACAUACAUUAUUUCUUUCUGAUCAUCAAAUGUUCUUCUGUGAUGUUUGGGCUAGAUGUCAGAUUUACUUAAUAAUGCCGAAGCAUCUGUCUUGCCUCCACUGCUCCGCAUGUUUUACUUUUGGGUAGUUUGACAUCUUAGAACCUUGUUGUUAUUACACCAUGACCCAUCGAGUCAGGUUUGUAAAGUUGAGGACAGAUCUAAAAUUUUGGAUUUGAUCCCUUAGUCAGCAGCUGAAAGCAGGACUUGAUGAACAGCCACUUAGGAGGGGACUUUUAGGGAAAUUGUUUAAAUUGCUUCAGUAGAAGUAUUGCAAUCGUUUUAUUGGCCGAGUGGCUCAAAAAUAAAAUAAAAAAUUCUUCUAUAGAGAACUCCGACAAAUUUUUAAAACAGAUAGUGGCAUUCUCGGGUUGCUUAGCUUCUUGUGCCCAUGUUAGAGUUGGUAAGGCGCGUGUCACUAAUGAGAUUCUGUGGUACAUACAGAUAUAUUAGAAAGAGAGAAUUAACCUUUAUAGUGCAAAUAUUUUACAAUAUCAAUUUUUUUGUUUCUUAGUGAAGAAGCCGGAAAAACUCUCGAAUUCUAAAGAAUGAAUGUGGUUUAAAUAGUGUCAAACCCUCUUUUACCAGUAUCAUUAAUUUGGCACUAAGCUUCUAAGGGUGUCACCGAUAUGAUCUCUCCACUGUAUUCCAGAACCUGAUCGUGAAGCAUGUAGACCACUCAGCUGGAUAUCUGAUUAAUCUUUUGCAAGGGCUUUGAUAGGUUCCAACCUGUAGCAGAAAGAAGGAACAGAAGUAAAUGCAGGAAAAAGCUUUUUAUAUAUUGAUGGAAUGGAAAUUACAACUCAAAAAACAGAAACGACCGAGGCCAUUCGAGAGGGCCUUACUCUCCUAAUAUGACGUUACAAUCUUUUUUCAUGCCCCAAGACUCCCAGCAUCUAUUCUAUUUAUAACUCCCCUGUUUAAUUAACUCUAGCCAUGUCACUCUUGCUCGACAGAAUUUGUUACCCCCUCCACAACCUUCUUGAUCCUUCUAGAAUGGGUAUAUUUGAUUGGGGCUCUAUUAGGUUUCUACGGUAUGACCCUGCUGAGCGAUUCAAAGCAAGAGAAGCUCUAUGACACCCCUUCUUCUCAAGGGAUCUGAGAAGGCGUUUCUAUCCAUUCUGAUUGGAACAUCUCAUCUGUGCUUUCUAUUGGGAGAACAAGGAAAGGAAAAUCCACACUUAUUACAUUAAACAAAAAAGGGGAAACGAUAACAGAAGGUGACAGAAAACAGUACAUUCUGAAGAUUGGCUGCAGUUAGUGCCAACCUCUGAUGCACUUGAUCUGCUGGGCUUAAGCUGUAAGUAUGUGGUUUUCUCAUUUAUUUGAUUUAAGUCUCUCAUUUCUUCUAUCGUUAUAUGAUUAAUUGUAUGCAAAUGUGUCCAUUUGGAAAUUCAGUGUUACUAUUCACUUCUUCUGUGAGUCAUGACUUGAAAUGAAGAUUCAAACUAAUAUAAUCUCUGAUUAAAGGUUAAUAGCUAGACUUUUCAUUCUUCACCGGUUAAAAUCAGUGUUCGUCAAUCAACUCAUUGCGGAGUUUCAUUUUAG